RNAcentral lists this ribosomal RNA (500 nucleotides) under uncultured Myrionecta. RNAcentral describes it as "bacterial SSU rRNA". It matches the Rfam family "Eukaryotic small subunit ribosomal RNA", at positions 1213 to 1800 of the family's 1831-position model. Lineage: Eukaryota; Ciliophora; Litostomatea; Cyclotrichida; Mesodiniidae. The record is from RNAcentral.
ACUUACCAGGUCAAGACAUGGGCGUGAUUGACAGGCUAAUGACUUUUCUCGAUUCCAUGGAUGGUGGUGCAUGGUCGCACUUAGUUGGUGCAGUGAUUUGUCAGGUUUAUUCCGGUAACGAACGAGACCUCGGCCUUGUAAAUAGCUAUGCUGCUUACAGGGACAUUGGCGGCUACGCCAAGGAAGCUCGAGGCAAUUGCAGAUCUGGAAUGCCCUUAGAUGUCCUGGGUCGCACGCGUGCUACAAUGACGCCACGAACGAGCUUGCGUGAUGAAAGUUACGCAUAAUCAGCAGUCGGCGUCUUAAGGGAUAGUCUCUUGUAACUGUGGGACUCCAACUAGGAAUGUCUCGUAAGCACAAGUCAACAUCUUGUGUUGAUUACGUCCCUGCUCUUUGUACACACCGCCCGUCGCUCCUACCGAUCGAGUGUUUAGGUGAAUUUGAUGGACGUAAGGAAGUCAAAUAAACCUGAGCACUAGAGAAGAGAAGUCGAGCAUGUU